RNAcentral lists this long non-coding RNA (272 nucleotides) under Lathyrus oleraceus (garden pea). Its description in RNAcentral is "Pisum sativum (pea) long non-coding RNA (PSAT_LNC041613)". The record is from RNAcentral. Lineage: Eukaryota; Viridiplantae; Streptophyta; Magnoliopsida; Fabales; Fabaceae.
ACAAACAACAGCAUUCGACAUGGCUCAUAUAGAUUCUCUAAGCAUGUUCAUAAGGUUUUAAACUGCAGCAAGGUAUAUGACAUCAACAGCAACACAAAAAUUCGACCAGCCUAGCAUUUCAUCAUGUAGGCAUCAAGUAAACAGCAUGGUAAAACACAGUUCUUCAUGACAUAACAACCAAACAACAUGAGUAUGAAGAUUUCAUGGGCAAGGCUAGGUUCAUGUGACAGCAGCAACAACAUUCCUCAUCAUCAUCAUUCAACCAAACAAAA